GGUACCUACCUCUAGUGGGAAUAACUUCGAGACAUCGAGGCUAAUACCGCAUGUGGUCUACGGAUCAAAGCAGUAAUGCGCUAGAGGAGGGGCCUGCGUCUGAUUAGCUUGUUGGUGAGGUAAAAGCUCACCAAGGCGACGAUCAGUAGCUGGAUCGAGAGGUUGACCAGCCACACUGGGACUGAGAUACGGCCCAGACUCCUACGGGAGGCAGCAGUGAGGAAUCUUCCACAAUGGACGAAAGUCUGAUGGAGCAAUGCCGCGUGCAGGAUGACGGCCUUCGGGUUGUAAACUGCUUUUAUAUGGGAAGAUUAUGACGGUACCAUAUGAAUAAGGACCGGCUAACUACGUG
RNAcentral lists this ribosomal RNA (352 nucleotides) under uncultured bacterium. Its description in RNAcentral is "bacterial SSU rRNA". It matches the Rfam family "Bacterial small subunit ribosomal RNA", at positions 120 to 507 of the family's 1533-position model. The record is from RNAcentral.